GGGGGCAUAGCUCAGUUGGGAGAGCAGUAGACUGAAGUUCUGUGUAAUCUAAAGGUCCCGCGUUCAAUCCGCGGUGCCCCCA
Non-coding RNA from Phlegmacium glaucopus, 82 nucleotides. The record is from the annotation of a GenBank genome assembly. Lineage: Eukaryota; Fungi; Basidiomycota; Agaricomycetes; Agaricales; Cortinariaceae.